Molecule: RNA transcript, 1875 nt
Organism: Gadus macrocephalus (Pacific cod)
Lineage: Eukaryota; Metazoa; Chordata; Actinopteri; Gadiformes; Gadidae
Exons: 3
Source: RefSeq, a predicted model, not a curated record
CUUCAACCUAAGGAUUUGCGGUGAUAUGUUAAAACAAUUGUUAAACAAUUAUUAAAAGCACUGCUGCUGCGGCUCCCCGUUUAGCGCCAUUGCUUCCACUGUUCUUUUGAAUAGACGCAGUGCAUUCUGGGGCAGUUUAGUACGUCUAGUAAGCUAGCGAUGCUUACUCAAAAUCUUUCCGGAAGUAGAAGACAUUCGGAUACUACUCGCUUACCUAAACUCGCUUACUAAGUUCUCGCUUACUCAAUUUGACGUCAUAGUUAGUAGGAGUAGUAAGCAAGUACGCGGUUUCGAACACACCCACUGACUGGCUGUCACGGUGACACAGUGACACUUGACAGGAUGGUUGACAACUGUUGUGCACCAGGUUGCCGAAACAGACGAGGGAAGAAGAAGGGAUGUUCGUUUUAUCGCAUCCCAAAAGAUGCAGCGAGGAGGGAAAUGUGGUUAAGUGCUAUUAAAAGAGCCAGGAGCCAACAGAACAACAGUGAAAGGUGGGACCCGCCGGCCGUUGGAUUUCGGUUGUGCAGCGAACACUUCAUAUCAGCUAUCUUCCGUCUCCAGAGAAGAGGAGACGGAAAGCUAGACUGGAGGUGUUCAACAGGAGGCAGAAGGCGAAAUUGCAGAAAAUAGAGCAGGCAAAGCUAUGUGCAGAAGCCACCCGUCUAAGGGCAUCAACUGAUUGUCCCCAAAACAAUGCAGCAACAGAAGACCAAACCACAGAGCCCUCCAUCACAGAAGACCAAGUCAUAGAGCCCCCCAUCACAGAUCCUUUGGAAGACUCAGGUGAUGAAGAUCCUGUCCAGCCUGAUCCAGCAACACCACCAUGCACCUCUGAAACCUGUAGUAAGCGCAUCAAGUCUCUUGAGCUAGAAUGCCAAGCUCUAAGAACUGAAAAUAUGUUGUUAAGGGACAAAAUAAGUAGGAAGACCCUGACAGAGAUAAGUUUGCAAAAUGAUGAUAAAAAGGUGAAUGUCCUCACUGGGUUAGCAACCUAUACAUGUCUGAUGACCAUCUUUCAAUAUUUGACUCCAUUUCUCAAACUUAAGGCAUCGAUAACAUGUUUUCAACAAUACAUGUUGACUUUGAUGAAGCUGCGAAUGAACUUGACAUUUGACUUUUUAGGUUUUUAUUUUGGCAUUGACCCAACUACUGUCUCCAGACACUUCAAACACUGUGUUAAUUUGAUUUAUUGUAGACUGGUGCCAAGUCUAGUGGUGUGGCCUGAAAGAGAAUCUCUAAGAACAUCUCUUCCAUAUGUAUUUAGAAAUGGCGGCUACGAGAAGACUGUAUCAUAGAUUGUUUUGAAAUAUUUCUAGAGAAACCAAGUAGAUUGCGACCCAGUGCACAGUGUUACUCAAAAUACAAAUCACAUCACACCAUGAAAUAUUUAAUUGCCUUUUGCCCUCAAGGUACAAUUUCUUUCAUUUCUACUGGAUGGGGAGGUCGCACCAGUGAUAAGUUCAUUACAGAACACAGUAAUUUUUUACCCAAUAUUCUCCCAGGAGAUGUUGUUUUGGCAGACAGGGGGUUUCUGGUGAAAGAGUCUGUUGAAAGGUGUCAGGCUGAAUUAAAAAUUCCAGCAUUUACUCGUGGGAAAAUACAGUUAGAUCCUGUUGACAUAGAGAAUACAAGAUCUCUAGCCUCUUUAAGAAUUCACAUUGAAAGAGUCAUAGGAGUACUUCGUCAGAAAUAUACUAUCUUACAAAACACUGUGCCAAUAACUUUCACAGAUAUAGAGACAGAAAAUGAUGUUACUUAUCUUGAUAAAAUUGUGAGUAUGUUGUGGACUAACAAAUGUACCAGAUUCUGUGGUGCCCUUUGAGUGAUGAAUUUGUGUGCCAACAGAAAAUAAACCUUUUUGAUUGCUUCUCA